AUGCAAUUAAUAAAUAAAUUAAAAGUCCAAAUGGCCUAAGGAAACCUCUUAGCCGUGAGUUACCAUGCACCAAAAUCAAACUCCAAAUUCCACCUUCAAUAAGCUACACACUACAAAAAAAAAGCUUAUUUAGAGGGGGUUAUUUAGAGGAGGUUAUGAAAAACCCCCUCAAAUUAAUAUAUUUCAUAAUGUUUAAUUUAAAUCAUGAAGGUGUCAAUGAUAACGGGAGUUUUAAUGAUUUUCAAAGGAAGUUUAUAACCCCCUCUAUUUCAAAGGAGUUUUAAUGAUUCUUCAAAAAUAAUAAUAUUUUUUUCCUUUAUUUCCUAAUUUUUUACGUUUCUGUCUCAUUGAUCUAAAUCCCGAAACUCAUCUCCCUCUCAAAAUCACACUACACCCUUAUUUCCUCUAAAAGAUUCCUGAACCCUAAAAUCCCUUUCAUUCCUUUCUCGCUUUCUUCCUCGCACACUGGUUCGUCUCUUCCUCGCACUGAUUAGCCUUCAGAAUCGUAGUCGCGGAACCAUUGGUAGACGGAGCUGCAGCGGUGGUUGCGUGGUCUUCCUUUUGUUACUGUUCUGUCAUUCUCAGGUGAAAGCCCCUGUUCCAUGGUCUUCCUCUUGUUAUUGUUGGCUUGUUGUAGUGAUUGUUUCUGUUGUUCUAUAGUUGGUUGUGGACGUAACUCUGACUCCGGUUGAGGAUCUUGCGGUUUUGGUGCUUGUUGCUGGUCAUUUUGGAGAAUUUGUUGUCUCUGUUGUUGUAGAACUUGUGAGUUUUCAAUCUCUUCUGCUGUUACUUGCCUUUGAUCUUUUAACUUUGUUACGUUAAGCUGCCACAUGAAGAAUGCUUGAUUCAUUUUUAACUAUGUAUUUUCCAAAGCACCUUCGUGAAAGUUUUCUAGUAUUUGAAAACUUAAUUUUUGACCUAAUCUACUGCCUGAUUUAUGUCAGGUGCAAAAAACUGAGAUCAGAAAGAGUGAAUGGAAAUAUUUUGUUCACUACCUUGUAAGUUCAACCAUAAUAUUUCUUCCCCUGCAGCCUAAUUUACUGCAUUUUGUAAACGACUUUACUAAUUUCUAGUGAUUACCUCAUCUCUUGAGUGUUCCUUGAUUUAACUUUUCAAAUUGAUUAAANUUUUAGCCGAAAAGAUUAGAAGCCCUGAAUCAACUUGUUGAUGAUUGGGACUCUGUGACUCAACAGGAUAAGGUACAAGGAAAACUAUUAAAUUCACUCUUUGUAGUU
Molecule: long non-coding RNA, 1235 nt
Filed under: Vigna radiata
Lineage: Eukaryota; Viridiplantae; Streptophyta; Magnoliopsida; Fabales; Fabaceae
Description: long non-coding RNA (VRAD_LNC006451)
Source: RNAcentral